RNAcentral lists this ribosomal RNA (425 nucleotides) under uncultured Actinomycetes bacterium. RNAcentral's name for it is "bacterial SSU rRNA". It matches the Rfam family "Bacterial small subunit ribosomal RNA", at positions 958 to 1385 of the family's 1533-position model. Lineage: Bacteria; Bacillati; Actinomycetota; Actinomycetes. The record is from RNAcentral.
AACGCGAAGAACCUUACCUGGGUUUGACAUUUAGGGAAAAGCCGUAGAGAUACGGUGUCCUUCGGGGUCCUAAACAGGUGGUGCAUGGCUGUCGUCAGCUCGUGUCGUGAGAUGUUGGGUUAAGUCCCGCAACGAGCGCAACCCUUAUUCUAUGUUGCCAGCGCGUAAUGGCGGGGACUCGUAGGAGACUGCCGGGGUCAACUCGGAGGAAGGUGGGGACGACGUCAAGUCAUCAUGCCCCUUAUAUCCAGGGCUGCACACAUGCUACAAUGGCUGGUACAACGGGUCGCUAAUCCGCGAGGAGGAGCUAAUCCCCAAAGCCAGUCUCAGUUCGGAUCGCAGUCUGCAACUCGACUGCGUGAAGUCGGAGUCGCUAGUAAUCCCGGAUCAGCAACGCCGGGGUGAAUACGUUCCCGGGCCUUGUA